Molecule: ribosomal RNA, 39 nt
Filed under: Ambassis agassizii (Agassiz's olive glassfish)
Lineage: Eukaryota; Metazoa; Chordata; Actinopteri; Ambassidae
Description: partial 16S ribosomal RNA
Source: RNAcentral
CACUCAACAGCUAGCCGACCAAAUCAAGCCCACCUCCCC